GUGCUUGCUUCGGCAGCACGUGUACUAAAAUUGGAACAAUACGCAGAAGAUUAGCAUGGCCCCAGCGCAGAGAUGCCACGCAAAUUCGUGAAGCAUUCCAUAUCUUA
Small nuclear RNA from Pteropus vampyrus (large flying fox), 107 nucleotides. The record is from Ensembl. Lineage: Eukaryota; Metazoa; Chordata; Mammalia; Chiroptera; Pteropodidae.